AUUGAACGCUGGCGGCGUGCUUAACACAUGCAAGUCGUGCGGUAACAGGCGUAGCAAUACGUGCUGACGAGCGGCGAACGGGUGCGUAAUACAUGGGAAUCUGCCUUUUAGUGGGGAAUAACCCGGCGAAAGCCGGGCUAAUGCCGCAUAAGAUCUUCGGAUGAAAGCGGGGGAUCGUAAGACCUCGCGCUGAUAGAUGAGCCCACUGCCGGAUUAGUCAGUUGGUGAGGUAACGGCUCACCAAGGCGACGAUCCGUAGCUGGUCUGAGAGGACGGCCAGCCACACUGGGACGUGAGACACGGCCCAGACUCCUACGGGAGGCAGCAGUGGGGAAUAUUGGACAAUGGGGAAACCCUGAUCCAGCGACGCCGCGUGUGUGAAGAAGGCC
RNAcentral lists this ribosomal RNA (389 nucleotides) under uncultured bacterium. RNAcentral's name for it is "bacterial SSU rRNA". It matches the Rfam family "Bacterial small subunit ribosomal RNA", at positions 30 to 416 of the family's 1533-position model. The record is from RNAcentral.